RNAcentral lists this ribosomal RNA (740 nucleotides) under uncultured bacterium. RNAcentral's name for it is "bacterial SSU rRNA". It matches the Rfam family "Bacterial small subunit ribosomal RNA", at positions 8 to 796 of the family's 1533-position model. The record is from RNAcentral.
AGAGUUUGAUCAUGGCUCAGAACGAACGCUGGCGGCAGGCUUAACACAUGCAAGUCGAGCGCCCCGCAAGGGGAGCGGCAGACGGGUGAGUAACGCGUGGGAAUCUACCCAUCUCUACGGAACAACUCCGGGAAACUGGAGCUAAUACCGUAUACGUCCUUCGGGAGAAAGAUUUAUCGGGGAUGGAUGAGCCCGCGUUGGAUUAGCUAGUUGGUGGGGUAAAGGCCUACCAAGGCGACGAUCCAUAGCUGGUCUGAGAGGAUGAUCAGCCACAUUGGGACUGAGACACGGCCCAAACUCCUACGGGAGGCAGCAGUGGGGAAUAUUGGACAAUGGGCGCAAGCCUGAUCCAGCCAUGCCGCGUGAGUGAUGAAGGUCUUAGGAUUGUAAAGCUCUUUCACCGGUGAAGAUAAUGACGGUAACCGGAGAAGAAGCCCCGGCUAACUUCGUGCCAGCAGCCGCGGUAAUACGAAGGGGGCUAGCGUUGUUCGGAAUUACUGGGCGUAAAGCGCACGUAGGCGGAUAUUUAAGUCAGGGGUGAAAUCCCAGAGCUCAACUCUGGAACUGCCUUUGAUACUGGGUAUCUUGAGUAUGGAAGAGGUAAGUGGAAUUCCGAGUGUAGAGGUGAAAUUCGUAGAUAUUCGGAGGAACACCAGUGGCGAAGGCGGCUUACUGGUCCAUUACUGACGCUGAGGUGCGAAAGCGUGGGGAGCAAACAGGAUUAGAUACCCUAGUAGUCC